RNAcentral lists this ribosomal RNA (486 nucleotides) under uncultured bacterium. RNAcentral's name for it is "partial 16S ribosomal RNA". It matches the Rfam family "Bacterial small subunit ribosomal RNA", at positions 30 to 507 of the family's 1533-position model. The record is from RNAcentral.
AUUGAACGCUGGCGACAUGCCUUACACAUGCAAGUCGAACGGCAGCACGGGUGCUUGCACCUGGUGGCGAGUGGCGAACGGGUGAGUAAUACAUCGGAACAUGUCCUGUAGUGGGGGAUAGCCCGGCGAAAGCCGGAUUAAUACCGCAUACGAUCUACGGAUGAAAGCGGGGGGCCUUCGGGCCUCGCGCUAUAGGGUUGGCCGAUGGCUGAUUAGCUAGUUGGUGGGGUAAAGGCCUACCAAGGCGACGAUCAGUAGCUGGUCUGAGAGGACGACCAGUCACACUGGGACUGAGACACGGCCCAGACUCCUACGGGAGGCAGCAGUGGGGAAUUUUGGACAAUGGGCGAAAGCCUGAUCCAGCAAUGCCGCGUGUGUGAAGAAGGCCUUCGGGUUGUAAAGCACUUUUGUCCGGAAAGAAAUCCUUGGCCCUAAUACGGUCGGGGGAUGACGGUACCGGAAGAAUAAGCACCGGCUAACUACGUG